GUAAACGGCGGCCGUAACUAUAACGGUCCUAAGGUAGCGAAAUUCCUUGUCGGGUAAGUUCCGACCUGCACGAAUGGCAUAAUGAUGGCCACACUGUCUCCUCCCGAGACUCAGUGAAGUUGAAAUGUUUGUGAUGAUGCAAUCUCCCCGCGGCUAGACGGGAAGACCCCAUGAACCUUUACUGUAGCUUUGCAUUGGACUUUGAACCGAUUUGUGUAGGAUAGGCGGGAGGCAGAGAAAGCGCAACGCCAGUUGUGCCGGAGCCGACGUUGAAAUACCGCCCUGAUUUGUUUGAGGUUCUAACCGCGACCCGUGAGCCGGGUUCGGGACCGUGCAUGGCAGGCAGUUUGACUGGGGCGGUCUCCUCCUAAAGGGUAACGGAGGAGUACAAAGGUACGCUAGGUACGGUCGGAAAUCGUGCUGAUAGUGCAAAGGCAAAAGCGUGCUUGACUGCGAGACCGACAAGUCGAGCAGAUGCGAAAGCAGGUCUUAGUGAUCCGGUGGCUCUGAAUGGAAGGGCCAUCGCUCAACGGAUAAAAGGUACUCUGGGGAUAACAGGCUGAUACCGCCCAAGAGUUCAUAUCGACGGCGGUGUUUGGCACCUCGAUGUCGGCUCAUCUCAUCCUGGGGCUGUAGCCGGUCCCAAGGGUAUGGCUGUUCGCCAUUUAAAGAGGUACGUGAGCUGGGUUUAAAACGUCGUGAGACAGUUUGGUCCCUAUCUGCCGUGGGCGCUGGAAGAUUGACGGGGGCUGCUCCUAGUACGAGAGGACCGGAGUGGACGCACCUCUGGUGUACCGGUUGUCACGCCAGUGGCAUCGCCGGGUAGCUAUGUGCGGAAGAGAUAACCGCUGAAAGCAUCUAAGCGGGAAACUUGCCUGAAGAUAAGUCUUCCCGGAGGCUAGACCUCCCUGAAGAGUCGUUCGAGACCAGGACGUUGAUAGGUCGGGUGUGUAAGCGUUGUGAGACGUUUAGCUAACCGAUACUAAUUGCUCGUGAGGCUUGAUCCU
Molecule: ribosomal RNA, 1007 nt
Filed under: human gut metagenome
Description: bacterial LSU rRNA
Rfam family: Bacterial large subunit ribosomal RNA
Source: RNAcentral